Molecule: small RNA, 483 nt
Filed under: Parachaetomium carinthiacum
Lineage: Eukaryota; Fungi; Ascomycota; Sordariomycetes; Sordariales; Chaetomiaceae
Description: eukaryotic LSU rRNA
Rfam family: 5.8S ribosomal RNA (bases 169-322)
Source: RNAcentral
GUUACAGAGUUGCAAAACUCCCUAAACCAUUGUGAACGUUACCAAACCGUUGCUUCGGCGGGCGGCACGCCAGUGCCCCUGGCCCCCCCUCGCGGGGGCGCCCGCCGGAGGUACCCAAACCAUUGAUACUUUAUGGCCUCUCUGACUCUUCUGUACUGAAUAAGUCAAAACUUUCAACAACGGAUCUCUUGGUUCUGGCAUCGAUGAAGAACGCAGCGAAAUGCGAUAAGUAAUGUGAAUUGCAGAAUUCAGUGAAUCAUCGAAUCUUUGAACGCACAUUGGGCCCGCCAGUAUUCUGGCGGGCAUGCCUGUUCGAGCAUCAUUUCAACCAUCAAGCCCCCGGCUUGUGUUGGGGACCUGCGGCUGCCGCAGGCCCUGAAAACCAGUGGCGGGCUCGCUGUCACACCGAGCGUAGUAGAUUUCAUCUCGCUCAGGGCGUGCUGCGGGUUCCGGCCGUUAAACCACCUUCAUAACCCAAGGUUG